This 253-nucleotide ribosomal RNA is filed under the name uncultured bacterium. RNAcentral's name for it is "partial 16S ribosomal RNA". It matches the Rfam family "Bacterial small subunit ribosomal RNA", at positions 524 to 776 of the family's 1533-position model. The record is from RNAcentral.
UACGUAGGGGGCAAGCGUUGUCCGGAAUCAUUGGGCGUAAAGAGCGUGUAGGCGGCCAGAAAAGUCCGCUGUGAAAACUCGAGGCUCAACUUCGAGCUGUCGGUGGAAACUUUCUGGCUAGAGUCCGGAAGAGGAGAAUGGAAUUCCUGGUGUAGCGGUGAAAUGCGUAGAUAUCUGGAGGAACACCGGUGGCGAAGGCGGCAUCCUGGACCGACACUGACGCUGAGGAGCGAAAGCCAGGGGAGCAAACGGG